ACCUGAGCUUGCAUUCUACCUCAAAAGCAGUUGGGGAAGCCAGAGCCAAGCCCCUCUCCACCUACGUCCUGAAUUUCCCUCAGUCUAAGGCUGGGGGUGAGGCCGAGGACCUCUAAAUCCGCAAACACACCAAAAUACCCACCCAUACGCAUACACACCCACACUCUGUUCCCCCUCUGAAACCUGGAAUCACUCCUGCCUGCCCCACCCAGCUCCACCCACCCUGGCUAGGCAGGUUCUGUAGAGACCUGCUCCGCUGUCUCUCUGGCACCCCCACCCCCAUCCCAGCUCCCAGAAGGUACCUGCCCCCCAACACAGCACACAAAAGCAGACACGUGUGCACAUUCAUGUCCCAUAGCACCCCAUUCCCUAGCCUUCCCCAGACCCAUUCCUAGUCCGUCUUGAAGAGAACACUGGGGGUGGAAAGGCUGCAGGAGAAAAGGUGAGUAAUGCCCCUGGCAUCUGUCCCAGGUGGGGGCCGGCGGGAAGACGGGACACUAAGCUGGUGGGAAGGCAACCAGGGCUUCUGGAUUCUCCAUUUAAUUUUUACCAACAGGCAGGCCCCACAAUUUCCACCACCAGGCUUUGAGCUGCUUCCUCCCUUGGCCUAGGCAGAGAACUGGCCCGUACCUGCCCACCAGAAAACAGGGGAAUUACUCAAGUGCAAGAUUAAAGGCAAUAAUGAGCAAUCAGACCGAACUGGAAUGACAGUAGGGGAAGGUGAAGAGACUUUGGGAAAAGGAAGAGCACUGAAGUCAGACCUGGCACAGCCUUUUACGAGCUAUGUAAUCUCAGCUAACAGGGCAUCUCCUGCAGGAACCUUCCCUGGCACCUCACCCCAGGGCCAAGCACUCUUCCUCUAUGCUCCAGUGGCCUCCUGAACACACCUCCACACAGCACUCACUGGGCUGCAGUGAAUCAACAUGUUUUCACAUGUCUCCCCUGGGAAAACAUCUUAUUUGCCCCUCCAUCCCCUGUGCUUCACACUGUGCCUGGCAGAUAGGAGAGAGUGCCUAAUGUGGUCGGCCAAAGGAAGAUCAGAACCAAAGCCUAGUUCUCCUAUCCCGACUCCGACCUCUCUCCCUUAAUGAUGAUUAUCCCUCAGAAUCCGAACCAUCCAGCUAACAUUUACUAUGUGCCAGGAACUGUGCAACGUGCUUUCUCUAUUAUUUCAUUUAAUCCUCAUAACCCCAAGAAGUAGGGCCUAUUAUUAAUUCCAUUUUACAGGUGAGGCUUCAAAAAGUUACCAGUUUUGUCUGAUGUCACGGAAUUAGACAGUGGCAAAGCCAGAAUUUAAAAGCAAACCAGGGAAGAAAGCCACUUGGUGGGGGACCAGGGAUUCCUUGUGGAAGGGCUCAGUCUAGGCUUGGAGGAUGUGCCUUAAGACACCUAAGAGGCUGGGGAAUGGGGUUUAUUACUUGCCCAGAUCACACCACUGUUAAGUACUAAUUCCAACCAACUCUGACUCCUUUCUCUGGCCUCACAAUGUGAUGAACACUUGAGGGAAGGAGAAGACUGGAGUUCCCUAAAACUCAGAGGGGAUCAGAUCUCUUCCUUUUCCCUGCCAAAGCUUCUGUUAGUCAAGUUCCCUCCCCAUUAACUGGAAGGACCUGGAAACCAGAUGAGCAGAUAAAAAACUGUCCUGCUCUAGGGCCAGGGAAGGGGGGAUAUUUCCUCAGAUCUAAAAGGAUCAGGAGGAGAGGCAAACACACCAGAGAGGCCUGCCCCGGAAGAAUUAGAGGAAAUAGAAGUCAGGAGCAAGACAAUGGGUGAGGAGGGGCCAACGUGGCCACUGACUCCCAAUCUGGAAGUACUUUCAGAAAUGGCAUUUCCUAUUAUCUGACCACAAUUCCUCCUCUUUGGAAGAGAGCCCCCACCAGCAUAAUAUAUCAUGCAUGUGAUCAGCGUAUACAGAGCAAACAAGGGACCCCAGAGGGCCAGGGCACACCAUCUUAGAUGCAAGUGCCUUACUAGCCCUGGGAGCCCUAACUAUCAGACAGGUGUUGGGUUUGGGGGAAUGAUCCAUUAAAAAAAAAAAAAGGUCUUUUAAA
Molecule: long non-coding RNA, 2051 nt
Filed under: Homo sapiens (human)
Lineage: Eukaryota; Metazoa; Chordata; Mammalia; Primates; Hominidae
Description: HSALNT0296161
Source: RNAcentral